AUGCUAAAUGAAAUAGGGGAAGUGGCUUCUUUCAGGAUUAACGAUAAGAAAGAUAGUAGGGUGGCCAGUGUAGAAUUCAAAGAUCCGCAAGUAUUGGCAGUUGCUCUUGAAACUGUAAAUAACAAGGAGGUGAACGGCUCCCAGCUUGAAUGUGAAACAUUUGAGAUUCGUGUUAAGGCAGGGACGAAAGGUGCAGCUCCUAGUUCUGUGCCAGCUCAACCUGCGACCCAUACUAGACCACCUAAACCUGAACCAAAGACUAGAGAGGAAUUGGACCAAGAAAUGGACGAGUAUAUGUCACAGCCAUGA
This 309-nucleotide transfer RNA is filed under the name Kluyveromyces marxianus. RNAcentral's name for it is "tRNA-Tyr". The record is from RNAcentral. Lineage: Eukaryota; Fungi; Ascomycota; Saccharomycetes; Saccharomycetales; Saccharomycetaceae.